UGGCUAUGGUGACACAAAUGUUCGUUUCUCGAUGAUAUUAGUUGUGUCAGAAGAACUUGAUUUAUUCAAGGUUAUGAGCUCUGUGCGUGUCUGAGCCAG
Non-coding RNA from Zea mays, 99 nucleotides. The record is from Rfam. Lineage: Eukaryota; Viridiplantae; Streptophyta; Magnoliopsida; Poales; Poaceae.